This 986-nucleotide long non-coding RNA is filed under the name Homo sapiens (human). Its description in RNAcentral is "HSALNT0339196". The record is from RNAcentral. Lineage: Eukaryota; Metazoa; Chordata; Mammalia; Primates; Hominidae.
UGCACUAGAUCUGCGUUUGGUUUGAUUGCUCACUAAUUGUCGAGUGUAUGUUGUGUUUGCUUUUUGCCUUUAUAUGCUGUAAGCAUUCCUCUUAAUAUCCUUGGUUCUUACGGUCAUGUAAUGUCAAAAUCAUUGUUUCCAUGCUUAGAUCCCUAAUGCUAAAUUUGAAGAGAUACGGAGAUGUGUGUGAAUGCUUCCUGAUGGAAUUUUAGGAAACACUAAUGGAGAUCAUUGUGCAACCCUCUUGAAGUUAGGUGAAGAAGGUCAAGAACAAGGUGUCAGCCAACUUGACAUUUCGGAAAUGGCUGCAUAUCAGAGUUCUCCACUGUUCUCCACACUUACUCUCUCCCUUAUCUCCGAGCUGGUAGCAGAGGAGCCAGCAGAAGACAGCAAGCCCUUGGUAUAGAUAGAGAAGCCAUGGAUGAAAAGAAGCAGGCCUUAAAGACAGAGCAAAGUAACAUAGCAUUCCUCUCUACUAUCAUCCUGUACUGGAUAGGCCCCCACAAAUAAUCCUGUAUUUUGGUAAACCGAUGCUUGAGGAAGACAUGCUAGAGCAAAAACUACAACUCUGGUCCUCUUGGAUAUUUUAGAUAAGGACUUUACCCACAUAAAGAAGGUGUUGCCCUGGGGACUGGCUGAGAGAAAUUACAGACUGUUACUCACUUCAAAAGAAACGGACUGCUACAGUGGUACUUACGUCACCAGAAAGAAACACUUCCACAAAGAAUUUGAUUUGAUGGCAUCAUGUGGACAUAGAACUCUCAUAGUAAUGACCCAACCUGUGUUUCCAGUCAUCCUGAUGAACUCUCAACAAAAUCAGAUUGUUAUACUGUUGUUCUCACUUUACACCGAUAUUUUCUCUUGCUCCUAAAAAAAGUAUCUGGUAUUAAAUAGAAUUCUGUAUCUUAAAAAACUUGCCAUUGAGAAAAAUGAGAAGUAACUGUACAUUUUAAUACUGAAGGUUUUAAUAAAAAAAGCAGUGUGAA